RNA transcript from Musa acuminata AAA Group (dessert banana), 777 nucleotides. RefSeq lists it as uncharacterized. The record is from RefSeq and is a predicted model, not a curated record. Lineage: Eukaryota; Viridiplantae; Streptophyta; Magnoliopsida; Zingiberales; Musaceae. The transcript has 6 exons.
CCACCGCCUCCAAAAGUAAUAAUCUUAGAAUUUGGAGCUCGGCCUUCUCCCUAUGUAUGUGGCCGAAACGAGAGCUCUGAAGGCGUUGGUUUAUGGCGAAGGAGACCCACAUCGCCCGGUUCCAAACCAUCAAGAACGCCUGCGAUCGCCUCCGUUGUUGCAGCCAAAACGAGAGCUCUGAAGACGUCCGUUCAUGGCGAAGGCGAACCACAUCACCCAGUUCCAAACCAUCAAGAACGCCUGCGAUCGCCUCCGUUGUUGCAGGAUUAUUGACAAGGUCUUGCUCGAUUGCCGGCAGCCCUGGUGUUCGGCGUCGUCGGAGCAAGGAAAGAUGACAAAGAAGAAGAAGAAGUUGAGGGGGAGGCGGAAAUGGAUGGCGACGAAUCGACGCCGCCGCUGUUGCUUGCAACAUUGGGACCCCGAGCGCCAGCGCCCGGGGAUUGCUAUUGCUGUAAAAGCUGGACUAACUAAGACAGAUUUUGAUUCCACCGUCUGAAUUCACCCAACAUCUGCAGAGGAGCUUGUCACAAUGAGGAGCCCAACUCGGAAAAUCCGGAAGGAUCCAUCCCCAGCAAUGGAAAAGAAUGUUGAUGAGAUCAGGCCAGAUAGGAAUAAGUAACUUCUCCGAAUGAGGCAGUUGCACUGUUACUUUUAGCAGUUGGUGGUGGUGCCGUUGAUGUCUGAUGAAAAGAGCGAUGAGUAUUGUAAACAUGAGAGUGGAACAAAAAUCACAAUAUUACAAAAUCAUAAUGCUUUUGUAAUGUUUUCCUUUCAGAA